ACCCACAAUAUGAGAAGAAAUUCAUAUUAUUAGGAUGAUGUUUCCAUCAUGGAUACCCUCAUCUUAAAUAAAAGUCCAAAAGGAAAAGAUACCUAUCAAAUUUUAUAGUUGAUUGAUUCCCUAGCACUUCUAAAGUUAGUGCAAAUUUAACAGCGAGUAAAGGAUAGAACAAAUAAGGCAUCAUAUAUAUAUUGUAGAGCUAACAAACUAAAGGAGAACAGAUGGCAAUAAUGAGUUGUUUCGAGCUUCCAGUGCAGCAGCCAAAUAGAGAUAUGUCAGUGCAAGAAUUCAAGGUGUGGAUUAAGCAAUUCGACAUGGAUCGUGACAAACGUAUUAGCCGCGAAGAACUAACAGAGGCACUUCAGAAUCUACACAUAUGGUUCAGCUCAUGGAAGGCUCGUCAAGUUAUGAAAACUGCUGAUACUGACCAAGUUGCACCAUCUUUAAGUUGAACAACCGACGUCUUCUCGUUAAUGAUGUUGAACGCUACAUUUUGUGUCAUCACACCAAGAGCUUGGCGAUCUAAUAGAUCUCAAUGCGCUUUGGACAUAUUCUUUAGUUUUACCCCCGUCAGAGGUAAGUGUAAUUUUUUUAUGGUACAAAUAAUCUUUUAUCUGCAUUUUUCAUAAUCCAAAAUCUUUGCCAAUGAACUUGUCAAUUUUAACAUUCCCUUAUUCCGAUGUUAUUUCUUCACAAAAAAUAUUUCUUUUUAUGUGAAUAGUGUCUUUGAAUAGUAAUUGAUGGUAGGCUAGAAAUACGAGUUUUUGGCUACUCUGCACCGAUUAUUUGCUACACUUUAAUUGUAUUGGAGCUAAAAUAUGGACAACUUCUACUCAGUACGUAUUUUUUAUUGUGUAAGUUGAGAUUCCGGGCUAAGACGAGUUUUUGGAGAUAAAUUGAAUCAAAAGAGAAUUUUAAAGUAUGAAUAAAAAUUUAAAAAUUAAGUCGGAAUCAAAUUCGGAGAUCGAAGACGAGGACCGAGUACGUAUUUGCAUAGUGAAAGAAAUAAAAAGAGAAAGCAAUAGUGGAGGAACUAAUGACAUGAAAACUUAGCAAGACACUUUGUGUCUGCCAACGUGCCAAAUAUUAUGGCAAUUCAAACAAAUAUAACUAGCCACAAUUGAGUAUUCUCCAAAGUCAUGACUAUGACGUCAUGUCCAAGAAGGGAGCUAUAUACUUUUUUUGUCCAUUGGCACUUCGUGCGGCGCGACGUGCCCGACGGCGUGUCAAUGCAAUAUUUAGGUCUGUGCAAUCCUAUUUCGACCCAUUAAAGCUUCGGUUUAAGACUAUUCCUAUAAUGUAUAAAUACACGGUAAACAUAUUUUUGAGGGUGAAUUCAACCUAGGAUAAUUUAGAGAGCUACCACGACCGGAAGACACAACAAAAUUUCAUUAAUUCUUUUACUAACAAUCGGUGUAAUACGGGAGUUUGUAUCGUAAAGUUAUUUUUGAUGUUUUCUAUGUUCUUAAACUUAUUUGUGAUAACUUUCUCCAUAUCCAUGGAGUAGUUCUUCCCUAGGAUUUUGAUAUGGUGUUUUGAGUGUUAUUUGUAGAUUUAACUCUAGUUUAAUUAUUUGAAUAUAUUUAUGAAGCUUUGAAUUAAUUGCGAAAUCAUUCACCGUUUUAUUUAAUCGGAAAACAAAAGAAUAUUUUGGUGAUUAUCUUUGUAUUAUUUGGUUUGGUUUAAUUUAGUGAUUCUUCUAAGUAAUCGAGAGAGCUUUUUGAAUUAUUGAUUAAACCAAGUUCGGAGAAUAUUCGAGAGACGUUUUUCUAAAGACUAGUCCAUUAACGUGCUCUUGCAUAUCUUUACAGUGAUUCAUAUUAGUUUAUUUUGUAGAGUUCAGAUUUAAUCGAGAGAGGAAUCUUCACCUUAUGUUCAAGCUAAUUAUCAAGUGAAUUUGGGAGAAUCAUUAAAACAUUAGAAGUGAAUUUAAACAGAGUUAAAUCGUGAAUAACUAUCUUAUACCUAUCAUGGCAUGACCCUUAUUUCUCAUAUUGUUUACAAACCAUUUUAGUUCAGCUCUCGUUCUCUAUAUAUGAUCAGGUCUAAUUAUUAGUAGUCUUAAUUUAGUAGUUAAUUGUAGUAGUAAUCACUCCAACUCAAGUGUUGAUCAUCCUAAAUAGCAACUAAUCCAGAAAUUACUCGAACAUUAUUUAAAUCCAAUCCUUGUGGAGACGAUAAUUAAACUAUACUAUUUUUGACUAGCGAGUAUUAAUUUCGUGUUGUGUUUUGCACUCAUCAGUAACCGCAAAUAGUACUCUGUGUAAAAAAAAUAUCUCAAUCGUAUAAGGUAGACAACACUCACUAUUGAUGAAUAAUACUAUCACUAUUAAUGAAUAGUAUUUCACUAUUGUGAAUAGUAUCUACACUAAUAUCGUACUUUUCUACCAGAAUUACACUGUCUGUGCUCUGAUACCAACUGUUGGGAAGCAUGUCAGGCUAAUAGAAGGGUAAAAUAUUUAAAGGAGAAAAGUAAUAAAUUAUACAAAAUAAGACAAGACAAGAUUUAUGUGGUUCGGCAAUUUUUGCCUGCUCCACGACCACACAAAGAAUAACUCUUUAUUAAUUCAGAGAGAGAAGAAUGUGAACUGAGAAGGGGAUGCCUAUUCAUAGGCAGAGGAAUCAGCUGAAAUCUUCGUCAAAAUGUGAACAUGCCACCGCGAUUGUAAACCAAUUUAAUUCUUUUACAUUUUGUAGUCUUUUCAUUCAGACUUCCAUUCUUUCUUUGUUUUUUUCACACAUUUUUUUCUUCUCUUUUCAUUUAUUUCUUUCUUUGACUUUUCCAUUUUUUUUGUCAUCUUUUAUUUCUUGUUCCCAUCAUAAAUACUUCUAAUGUAAAGGCACUGGACACUCAGACUGCUAAGCUUAAUUCGUAGACAUAGAUUUAACUAAAUAACUGAGAUCAAGCAUGACUAGAUCAUCACAAGGAAAGGUGAUAACUAUUCUUAGCAUUGAUGGUGGAGGUGUAAGAGGGAUAAUUCCCGGUACAAUUCUUGCUUUUCUUGAAUCCCAAUUCCAGGUUAGUUAACAUAUAUAUAUAUA
Non-coding RNA from Nicotiana tabacum (common tobacco), 3042 nucleotides. The record is from RefSeq and is a predicted model, not a curated record. NCBI's taxonomy places the organism in Eukaryota, Viridiplantae, Streptophyta, Magnoliopsida, Solanales, Solanaceae.